CAGUUUGAUUCUGACUGAAAAAUUAAUUAUUAUCAACCAAUAUACAUGUAAACAAUAACUAACCCGCAAAAACUCAAAUUCUAAAAGACCAGAUAAUCGUAUUUAGAUCAUUCUUCAUAUGAAAGAGCGCCACAGUAAAUAACACUUUUCAAUUUGUAAAUCAAGAAAAGAGUAUGAUAUAAGGGCUGGCAAAAUUCGUGCCAGCUGCCGCGGUUAGACGAUAAGCCCAAAUUAAUACAGUAUAGGCUAAAUUAAUGGUAUAUUAAACAACCAUAAAAGUCUAAUUUAUAAAAUUCUCGACCCACAUAUACCGCAUAAAAAUGAAAUCAUGACCUAAAACAUGGAUUAGAUACCCAUCUAUUUAUGACAUAAAUAGACAGCUGAAUAUUACGAAUACCAAUUUAAAAUUCAAAGAUUUUGGCGGUGUCUUAUAAAACCAGGGGAACCUGUCUCAUAACUCGAUAAUCCACGAUCAACACAACCUUCUCUAGAUAUACAGCUUGUGUACUGCCGUUGUAAGCAUACCUCUAAAAGAAUAAGUGUGCUACUAUGAUUAUUAUUUAACUCAUAUACAUCAGGUCAAAGUGCAGCCAAUAAGAAGGUGAUGAUGGGUUACAACCCAGAAAAAGACUAUCAAAUAAGAAAUUAAAAAUCUUACGAAAGUGGACUUGGCCGUAAUUAAUAAAUAAAUUAAAGAAAUGAACAACAAUCUAAGACAUGCACACAUCGCCCGUCACUCUAUCCUAAAGGCUAGAUAAGUCGUAACAAAGUAGGUGUAAUGGAAAUUGUACCUGU
RNAcentral lists this ribosomal RNA (795 nucleotides) under Polypheretima elongata. RNAcentral's name for it is "s-rRNA". Lineage: Eukaryota; Metazoa; Annelida; Clitellata; Crassiclitellata; Megascolecidae. The record is from RNAcentral.